GAUGAACGCUGGCGGCGUGCCUAAUACAUGCAAGUCGAGCGAACAGACGAGGAGCUUGCUCCCUUGACGUUAGCGGCGGACGGGUGAGUAACACGUGGAUAACCUACCUAUAAUUCUGGGAUAACUUCGGGAAACCGGAGCUAAUACCGGCUCAUAUAUUGUACCGCAUGGAUCAAUAGAUAAAGACGGCUUUGCUGACACUUAUAGACGGAUCCGGGCCGCAUUAGCUAGUUGGUAAGGUAACGGCUUACCAAGGCAACGAUGCGUAGCCGAUCUGAGAGGGUGAUCGGCCACACUGGAACUGAGACACGGUCCAGACUCCUACGGGAGGCAGCAGUAGGGAAUCUUCCGCAAUGGGCGAAAGCUUGACGGAGCAACGCCGCGUGAGUGAUGAAGGUCUUCGGAUCGUAAAGCUCUGUUAUUAGGGAAGAACAGAUGUGUAAGUAACUAUGCACGUCUUGACGGUACCUAAUCAGAAAGCCACGGCUAACUACGUG
This 497-nucleotide ribosomal RNA is filed under the name uncultured bacterium. RNAcentral's name for it is "partial 16S ribosomal RNA". It matches the Rfam family "Bacterial small subunit ribosomal RNA", at positions 28 to 507 of the family's 1533-position model. The record is from RNAcentral.